This 475-nucleotide long non-coding RNA is filed under the name Nicotiana benthamiana. RNAcentral's name for it is "long non-coding RNA (NBEN_LNC020897)". The record is from RNAcentral. Lineage: Eukaryota; Viridiplantae; Streptophyta; Magnoliopsida; Solanales; Solanaceae.
UGAGAGUAAGCUACUUGUAAACCCAAAGAUUACAUCUGAACAGCUUAUCCUAUUGCAGGAGAGAUUGCUUUACAUAGGAAUGCAAGAAAUGUAGAACAAAGUUAUACAUGCUUAGUUGGUCUAUAGGGAAAACAAAGAUUACUUGCAAAAGCCGUCGAACGUAACCACCCUCCAUUAUUCGUGCAAAGCUUGAUGCAUGUGAAUAUUUGUUUCCUUCAAAGGAAUGAUAAAUAUCAGGAUGAGCAUCAAGGUGGAGGAUAUCAAUAGGUCCUCCAAGCUUUUCAGACACAGCUCUUACAACAGGAUAGGAUAUGGUAAAUAUCAGGAUGAGCAUCAAGGUGAAGGAUAUCAAUAGGUCCUCCAAGCUUUUCAGACACAGCUCUUACAACAGGAUAGGAUAUGGAGUGAUCACCCCCUAACACCAAGGGACGCAAUGGAUCCUGAAAAGUCAAUAUGGGAAUUGAAUUAACAAAUU